GUGAGUAACACGUGGAUAACCUACCUAUAAAACUGAGAUAACUUCGGGAAACCGGAGCUAAUACCGGAUAAUAUUUUGAACCGCAUGGUUCAAAAGUGAAAGACGGUCUUGCUGUCACUUAUAGAUGGAUCCGCGCUGCAUUAGCUAGUUGGUAAGGUAACGGCUUACCAAGGCAACGAUGCAUAGCCGACCUGAGAGGGUGAUCGGCCACACUGGAACUGAGACACGGUCCAG
This 234-nucleotide ribosomal RNA is filed under the name uncultured Staphylococcus sp. RNAcentral describes it as "partial 16S ribosomal RNA". It matches the Rfam family "Bacterial small subunit ribosomal RNA", at positions 106 to 334 of the family's 1533-position model. The record is from RNAcentral. Lineage: Bacteria; Bacillati; Bacillota; Bacilli; Caryophanales; Staphylococcaceae.